Molecule: ribosomal RNA, 253 nt
Filed under: uncultured bacterium
Lineage: Bacteria
Description: partial 16S ribosomal RNA
Rfam family: Bacterial small subunit ribosomal RNA
Source: RNAcentral
UACGUAGGGGGCAAGCGUUGUCCGGAUUUAUUGGGCGUAAAGAGCGUGUAGGCGGUUGGGUAGGUCCGUUGUGAAAACUCGAGGCUCAACCUCGAGACGCCGAUGGAAACCCCCUGACUAGAGUCCGGAAGAGGAGAGUGGAAUUCCUGGUGUAGCGGUGAAAUGCGCAGAUAUCAGGAAGAACACCCGUGGCUAAGGCGGCUCUCUAGUACGGUACUGACGCUGAGACGCGAAAGCGUGGGGAGCGAACAGG